Molecule: ribosomal RNA, 617 nt
Filed under: Escherichia coli
Lineage: Bacteria; Pseudomonadati; Pseudomonadota; Gammaproteobacteria; Enterobacterales; Enterobacteriaceae
Description: partial 23S ribosomal RNA
Rfam family: Bacterial large subunit ribosomal RNA
Source: RNAcentral
CGGGACACGUGGUAUCCUGUCUGAAUAUGGGGGGACCAUCCUCCAAGGCUAAAUACUCCUGACUGACCGAUAGUGAACCAGUACCGUGAGGGAAAGGCGAAAAGAACCCCGGCGAGGGGAGUGAAAAAGAACCUGAAACCGUGUACGUACAAGCAGUGGGAGCACGCUUAGGCGUGUGACUGCGUACCUUUUGUAUAAUGGGUCAGCGACUUAUAUUCUGUAGCAAGGUUAACCGAAUAGGGGAGCCGAAGGGAAACCGAGUCUUAACUGGGCGUUAAGUUGCAGGGUAUAGACCCGAAACCCGGUGAUCUAGCCAUGGGCAGGUUGAAGGUUGGGUAACACUAACUGGAGGACCGAACCGACUAAUGUUGAAAAAUUAGCGGAUGACUUGUGGCUGGGGGUGAAAGGCCAAUCAAACCGGGAGAUAGCUGGUUCUCCCCGAAAGCUAUUUAGGUAGCGCCUCGUGAAUUCAUCUCCGGGGGUAGAGCACUGUUUCGGCAAGGGGGUCAUCCCGACUUACCAACCCGAUGCAAACUGCGAAUACCGGAGAAUGUUAUCACGGGAGACACACGGCGGGUGCUAACGUCCGUCGUGAAGAGGGAAACAACCCAGACCGC